Molecule: ribosomal RNA, 790 nt
Filed under: marine metagenome
Description: bacterial SSU rRNA
Rfam family: Bacterial small subunit ribosomal RNA
Source: RNAcentral
AGAGUUUGAUCAUGGCUCAGAACGUACGCUGGCGGCACGCCUAACACAUGCAAGUCGAACGAAGUAGCAAUACUUAGUGGCAGACGGGUGAGUAACAUGUAGGUAUCUGCCCUUUGGCCUGGAAUAACACGAGGAAACUUGUGCUAAUACCGGAUAAGUCUUUACGGAGAAAGCUUUAUGCACCAUUGGAUGAGCCUGCACUUGAUUAGUUUGUUGGUGGGGUAAUGGCCUACCAAGACUGUGAUCAAUAGCUGAUUUGAGAGGAUGAUCAGCCACAUUGGGACUGAGACACGGCCCAAACUCCUACGGGAGGCAGCAGUGGGGAAUCUUGCACAAUGGAGGAAACUCUGAUGCAGCGAUGCCGCGUGAGUGAAGAAGGCCCUUGGGUUGUAAAGCUCUUUCGUCGGGGAAGAAAAUGACUGUACCCGAAUAAGAAGGUCCGGCUAACUUCGUGCCAGCAGCCGCGGUAAUACGAAGGGACCUAGCGUAGUUCGGAAUUACUGGGCUUAAAGAGUUCGUAGGUGGUUGAAAAAGUUAGUGGUGAAAUCCCAGAGCUUAACUCUGGAACUGCCAUUAAAACUUUUCAGCUAGAGUAUGAUAGAGGAAAGCAGAAUUUCUAGUGUAGAGGUGAAAUUCGUAGAUAUUAGAAAGAAUACCAAUUGCGAAGGCAGCUUUCUGGAUCAUUACUGACACUGAGGAACGAAAGCAUGGGUAGCGAAGAGGAUUAGAUACCCUCGUAGUCCAUGCCGUAAACGAUGUGUGUUAGACGUUGGAAAUUUAUUUUCAGUGU